This 318-nucleotide ribosomal RNA is filed under the name Triticum aestivum (bread wheat). Its description in RNAcentral is "partial small subunit ribosomal RNA". The record is from RNAcentral. Lineage: Eukaryota; Viridiplantae; Streptophyta; Magnoliopsida; Poales; Poaceae.
AUGUUGAUGGAGUUAUCUCUGGUCAGUUCAGCUGCAAGUUCACACACGGCAAGUUUUACUAUUAUCAAUGGAAGAAGUUCUGAUAUGUCCACCACUGAGGCCAGACCAGUAGGCCAUAUGGGUUGCUUCUUGAUUCUAACCACGAAGAAUUUUAUUUUGUUAGGAAGGGUUCAUUUUCUCUCUUCCGGUGUUUGGAAGAUCUGGAGCAACUUAUUUAUGGUUCUUCAGAUGAAUGGGGGAAAUCUCGGUGGUGUUGGAAUGAACUUACUGGACGACAUAUCUGACUCUGGAACCCUCAUUGAAGUCCUUAGAUAUUAA